Molecule: non-coding RNA, 1058 nt
Organism: Lonchura striata (white-rumped munia)
Lineage: Eukaryota; Metazoa; Chordata; Aves; Passeriformes; Estrildidae
Source: RefSeq, a predicted model, not a curated record
ACACAAUGUAGCUUACAAGUCCUUCAGAUUCUUGGCAAGCAAAUCCAGUGCCUCAGACAGCCCCAGCACUCCUGACCUGGACCUUUUAAAGACAGAAUGUAUAAAGAAAGCAACUGACAGCAUUCUAACUCAAAAUUAAAGCCUUUGUUCUUGGGAAUGUGCUAAAAUGGAUUCACCCAGUAUGUUGCAGAAUGAGAAAACAGGAGAGCACCUGGGCAAGAGAUCCCCCUGACUUGGUCUUAUGCAGCUCCAUGCAGCACUUUUGGGAAGGUGGCAGCAAGGGAAUGACUGUGUCACAUGGCUGGGAAUGCAGACCUGUGCUAAGAAUAAACUACUCUAAAAUGAAAACAAUUACAUAGAGAUGUAACCUUUGUGAAAGUCAUAAUGCUAGAUUUUUUCAUGUUAUUUUCAAAGAGAUAACUAACUAAGGAAGAUAAAUAUGUGUUUUAAACUGUGUAAUUUUCUGUACAUUUGGUGGAGAGCACUCACUGUCUGAGACAGGAAACAUUAAAAAUAUGUCUUUACUGUCUAGCUAUAAACCCAGUAGUCUAAUGAUCAUUAGACUAGAAUUGCUUAAUUCUAAUUGUUAAUUUGAUGUAUAUCUGAUUUCUCCCUCCUUUGUUAUUGAUAAAUCUUCACCAUCUUCUGUCCCCAAACCACAAACACAAGUUUCUAGGAAACUUAGCUUUUCACAGACCUAAAACCCAUUAGUACAAGUCCUGUAAUAGGAAAGAAAAAAAACCAAACAAACAAAAAAUUCAGCACUGGUGAAAUAUGUGGCUAUAAAUACUGAAAUAUGUAGCUAUAAAUAUUGUUACACCAUGUCAAAUAGGAACAUUGCUUGGUGUCUGCAUGUUAAUCUCAAGAUUAAUUUUGUUAUACAGUACAAACCCACUGCAAUUCAAAGACUCUUCUUUACCUCUUAAAGCUCUGUUCCUAAAAUAUACAUGUGCUAAUGAAAAGUAGAUCAUGGUUUCCUUUCCAUGGUAGAUGAUUGAGAGGCAUGCACACUUUAAUCUUGUUCAAAAAAGAUAAUCAACUAAAUUUCCCUGAAGUGG